RNAcentral lists this ribosomal RNA (467 nucleotides) under uncultured bacterium. RNAcentral's name for it is "partial 16S ribosomal RNA". It matches the Rfam family "Bacterial small subunit ribosomal RNA", at positions 28 to 506 of the family's 1533-position model. The record is from RNAcentral.
GACGAACGCUGGCGGCGUGCUUAACACAUGCAAGUCGAACGGAAAGGCCCUGCUUUUGUGGGGUGCUCGAGUGGCGAACGGGUGAGUAACACGUGAGUAACCUGCCCUUGACUUUGGGAUAACUUCAGGAAACUGGGGCUAAUACCGGAUAGGAGCUCCUGCUGCAUGGUGGGGGUUGGAAAGUUUCGGCGGUUGGGGAUGGACUCGCGGCUUAUCAGCUUGUUGGUGGGGUAGUGGCUUACCAAGGCUUUGACGGGUAGCCGGCCUGAGAGGGUGACCGGCCACAUUGGGACUGAGAUACGGCCCAGACUCCUACGGGAGGCAGCAGUGGGGAAUAUUGCACAAUGGGCGGAAGCCUGAUGCAGCAACGCCGCGUGCGGGAUGACGGCCUUCGGGUUGUAAACCGCUUUCGCCUGUGACGAAGCGUGAGUGACGGUAAUGGGUAAAGGAGCACCGGCGAACUACGU